Molecule: ribosomal RNA, 253 nt
Filed under: uncultured bacterium
Lineage: Bacteria
Description: partial 16S ribosomal RNA
Rfam family: Bacterial small subunit ribosomal RNA
Source: RNAcentral
UACGGAGGGUGCAAGCGUUAUCCGGAUUCACUGGGUUUAAAGGGUGCGUAGGUGGGCUGGUAAGUCAGUGGUGAAAUCUCCAGGCUUAACUUGGAAACUGCCAUUGAUACUAUCAGUCUUGAAUACCGUGGAGGUCAGCGGAAUAUGUCAUGUAGCGGUGAAAUGCUUAGAUAUGACAUAGAACACCAAUUGCGAAGGCAGCUUACUACCCGAAUAUUGACACUGAGGCACGAAAGCGUGGGGAUCAAACAGG